This 541-nucleotide unclassified non-coding RNA is filed under the name Microsporum canis. RNAcentral's name for it is "sequence contains ITS1, 5.8S rRNA gene, ITS2". The stretch from base 315 to 468 matches the Rfam family "5.8S ribosomal RNA". Lineage: Eukaryota; Fungi; Ascomycota; Eurotiomycetes; Onygenales; Arthrodermataceae. The record is from RNAcentral.
GUGAACCUGCGGAAGGAUCAUUAACGCGCAAGAGGUCGAAGUUGGCCCCCGAAGCUCUUCCGUCUCCCCCCCGGGCCUCCCGGGGAGGUUGCGGGCGGCGAGGGGUGCCUCCGGCCGCACGCCCAUUCUUGUCUACUGACCCGGUUGCCUCGGCGGGCCGCGCCUGCUGUGCUACAGCGGCCGUUCGGGGGGGACGCCUGAGGGGGACUCUUGUUUCCUAGGCCACGCCCCGGGCAGCGCUCGCCGGAGGAUUACUCUGGAAAACACACUCUUGAAAGAACAUACCGUCUGAGCGAGCAACGCAAAUCAGUUAAAACUUUCAACAACGGAUCUCUUGGUUCCGGCAUCGAUGAAGAACGCAGCGAAAUGCGAUAAGUAAUGUGAAUUGCAGAAUUCCGUGAAUCAUCGAAUCUUUGAACGCACAUUGCGCCCCCUGGCAUUCCGGGGGGCAUGCCUGUUCGAGCGUCAUUUCAACCCCUCAAGCCCGGCUUGUGUGAUGGACGACCGUCCCCCCUCCCCAGUAACCACCCACCGCUUAGGG